AACUCUCAACCCCCUACUUUUGUAAUGAAAGCAGCGUGGGCUUGGUUUAUGGCUGUCUGUCGGCGUCAUAGUCGGCUCAGCUGAAAUAUACGAGCAACCCAUUUGAAAUAGACGGCUUGACUCGGCGUAAUAAUUAUUUCGCUGAGGACGUCUUCUUCAAAGCUAAGUGGUGCUUCUAAUGCAGCAAUACUUUAAGU
Molecule: unclassified non-coding RNA, 197 nt
Filed under: uncultured Rhodotorula
Lineage: Eukaryota; Fungi; Basidiomycota
Description: sequence contains ITS2
Source: RNAcentral